UAGGGAAUCUUCGGCAAUGGGGGCAACCCUGACCGAGCAACGCCGCGUGAGUGAAGAAGGUUUUCGGAUCGUAAAGCUCUGUUGUAAGAGAAGAACGUGUGUGAGAGUGGAAAGUUCACACAGUGACGGUAACUUACCAGAAAGGGACGGCUAACUACGUGCCAGCAGCCGCGGUAAUACGUAGGUCCCGAGCGUUGUCCGGAUUUAUUGGGCGUAAAGCGAGCGCAGGCGGUUUAAUAAGUCUGAAGUUAAAGGCAGUGGCUUAACCAUUGUUCGCUUUGGAAACUGUUAAACUUGAGUGCAGAAGGGGAGAGUGGAAUUCCAUGUGUAGCGGUGAAAUGCGUAGAUAUAUGGAGGAACACCGGUGGCGAAAGCGGCUCUCUGGUCUGUAACUGACGCUGAGGCUCGAAAGCGUGGGGAGCAAUCAGG
This 429-nucleotide ribosomal RNA is filed under the name bacterium. RNAcentral describes it as "partial 16S ribosomal RNA". It matches the Rfam family "Bacterial small subunit ribosomal RNA", at positions 355 to 776 of the family's 1533-position model. The record is from RNAcentral.